RNAcentral lists this ribosomal RNA (253 nucleotides) under uncultured bacterium. RNAcentral describes it as "partial 16S ribosomal RNA". It matches the Rfam family "Bacterial small subunit ribosomal RNA", at positions 524 to 776 of the family's 1533-position model. The record is from RNAcentral.
UACGGGGGGGGCAAGCGUUGUUCGGAAUUACUGGGCGUAAAGGGCUUGUAGGUGGCCAACUAAGUCAGACGUGAAAUCCCUCGGCUUAACCGGGGAACUGCGUCUGAUACUGGAUGGCUAGAGUGUGGGAGAGGGAUGCGGAAUUCCAGGUGUAGCGGUGAAAUGCGCAGAUAUCAGGAGGAACACCGAUGGCGAAGGCAGGUCUCUGGGCCAUAACUGACGCUGAGAAGCGAAAGCAUGGGGAGCGAACAGG